Long non-coding RNA from Acinonyx jubatus (cheetah), 839 nucleotides. RefSeq lists it as uncharacterized. NCBI's taxonomy places the organism in Eukaryota, Metazoa, Chordata, Mammalia, Carnivora, Felidae. The record is from RefSeq and is a predicted model, not a curated record. The transcript has 4 exons.
AUAACACACACCACAGAGAGAUUCCUCUCUCUUUCUCUCUCUCUCUCACUCUCUCUCUCUCCUCUCUCAUUCCCUCUUCACACUUAGGAAAGGCGAUAUGAGCACAUAGCUAGAAGUUGGCCAGGAAGAGAGAUCUCACCAGAAGCUAACCAUGCUGGCAUCCUGAUCUCAGAUUUUCAGCCUUCAGAACUGUGCAUGUGGAUGUAACCAGACUCCAAAGGAUUGUAUAACAACAUAGCCUACCUCAUUGACUCAGUACCUGCAAGGAAGCUACCCACCAACCUUCAUAUCCACACCAUACUCCCUCUCACAGUGACUAAUGCAUGACUUUGCACAUGAAGUUACUUGCACUUAGGUGCGAAUUAUUUUAAGGAUUGGCUCAUGCCGUUAUGGUGGCUGGGAAGUUCUAAAUCUGCUAUACAGAUCAGCUAGGUAAGUUGAUGCUCUGGUCUUGAAGCCAAAGGCAGUGUGGAAGCAGAAUUCCUUACUCUCCUGGAGACUCCACUCUUUUCUUUUAAAGCCUUCAACUGAAGGGGCCUGCCUGGGUGGCUCAGUUGGUUAAUUGUCUGACUUCAGUUCAGGUCAUGAUCUCACAGCUUGUGAGUUCAAGCUAUGUGUCAGGCUGUGUGCUUGACAGCUCAGAGACUUGGAGCCUGCUUAAGAUUCUGUGUCUCCCUCUCUCUCUGCCCCAACCCUUCCAAAUAAAUAUUAAAAAAAAAUAAUAAUAAAGCCUUCAACUGAUUGGAUGAGGCACACCCACAUUAUUGAAGGUAAGAAGUCUACUUAUUUGAAUGUUAACCACAUUUUAAAAAACACUUUUGCCAUAACAUCUACACUGG